GCCAGAGCUGCUGCAGCUUGGGGUGGUUGUGCGGCGAGAACUGGUGGCUCUCCAGGAUCUUGUAGAGCUCGCGGAAGUUGCCCCGGUGGAAGGCCACCACGGCCUUGGCCUUCAGGACGCUCUCGUUUUUGUGGAGGUGCUCGCACGCAGGGAGGGACCAGAGGAACCGCCCCAGCCGCUCGAUGUUGCCGCCUUGCUGGAGCACCUCGCAGACGCAAGCCACUUGCUCUUGGGUGAAGCCAAAAGUCGGGAGCAUCGACAUGGUGAGCCCUGCCCCGCCGCGCACCCUACGGCCGCUCGGUGGGGCGGCGGGCAGCGGCCCGCAUGCGGGGCCGGCCCCGGGGCGGUGGCGCCCGGCGGGGCCCGGCGGGACUCACGGCCCGGCGCGGGGGACCGCGGCCAUCGGCGGAGCCCGGCGCCGGAGCGGGGCGCGGGGAGCUGCUGAGGAGCGGUGCCGGAGUCGCGGAGCCCGAGCGCGGAAGGCUUUUCCCCGGCCGCCUCCUUUUUGUAAGUCCGAGUUGCGAGAGUAACUUUGUGCCUCUUUUGUCUCCUAUCUGCAGCGCUCGUAGCGGCCGCGGCUCUCCCACCCCCACCCCCCUCGGCCGCCGGUUUGGGAUCUCCCUGCUUCCCCCCCACCCCCCUCCGCCGAAAGAUCCCACAUAAUAUAGCGGUAAAGUCCCGCUCCCUCUCUCCUCUCCCUCUCGGAGUUUUCCCCCCUUUCUUUCUCUCUCUCUCUCUCUCUCCCCCCCCCCCCCCCUUUUUUUUUUUUUUUUAAUAAUAUUAUUCUAAGCUGGCAUGAAAAGUGAUUAUCCGCGCUGUGAUUGGUCCGGUUAUCUGACCCGGGGACUGCCAGGAGAAGACAAUAGUUUUAGUCAAAUUAUUUGCCAUGGUGACGCUGUCAAUCAGGGGUAACCCGAUCUGUUUUGAGGUGGCUCCCCGGCUGGGUUGACAGAUUGCUCAGAUCCACUCCGAGGCGGCCCCGCGAGCUGAGAUAUUGGCUGGCGAGGGAGAAACCGCCGCCGGGAUUGGCGCUGCGGGCGCCCGUCGGGAGCGGGCAGCGGAGAGCGCUGAGCCGCCGUCGGGGCCCGCAGCCCGGGCUCUGCUCGGCCCGGCGGCUGCGUUGGGGACGAACAGCCGGGCGGGCCCUCGCUGAAAGUUUCUUUCUAAAUGCACUUAACACCCUUCCAGACGCCCAGCGACAACUGUCGCGAUGGGCUUUAUAGGGAAGGGGCCUCUAGGGUACAAUAGGAACCCUGUUCGCCACUGGAGUAUCGUCACAGAGCGGCACUACCUGCCCGCCGGGCCCCAGUCAGGCAUGGCCGCAGCCGAGCGCAGCCCCGCUGACCGCAGCCCGACCGCCCCUUUAGGUGCGCCUUUUCGGCCGCCGAGCUUUUAUUUCUGCUUCGUUUUCAGCAGCGUGCCGGGCUGUUUCCAGCCAGGGGCACGGGGAAAAGUUAGAGGCGCUUCGCGUGGCGAAGCUGUCCCGCAUCGCCCACGCGUGCCCUACGCACGGCGAUUUUAAUUCAGCGUCUGUGCGGGGAGGGGAGGACCUUCGCCUCUUCCAGUCGCUCUCGGGGCACGUAACGAACGCGGAUGAGCUUAUGCGGGCCGAACGGGAGUGGAGCGACCAGGCAGGGGUCCCCGAGGUGUCUGCGGACCUCUCGGUCGUACGGGAGCUGGAAGUCCCAGCUUCGGGCACUCGAGAGGAACCUCUCUAUCCCAAAGGUAGGGCGUUUCUCAUCCCCCUUAAUGCUUCAGUUCUGGGGAAGAAACGAUAAGAAUAACGAAACCGAGCCCUACGCCAUUUACAACCCCAACUGGAGGGCUGUCCGCAGCUGUGGGUUCCCGACAAGAAAUCUUUUUGACACCGCCCAGCUGCACCCCCGAGCUCGAGGGGCUCACGAAGCAGCAGGAAGCGGCUCCCCUCCGCGCAGCCGGGCCCCCGCGGCGGGAGCCGGGCCGGGCACAGCUGCUCCCCCAGGGAGACGAGGGAGGGCGGCGGCGGCGCGGCGCGGCCCGGACGCUCCCGGCGGCUGCCGGCCCGGAGCAGCGCCAGUGUGAAGGGCGGCGAGGGGGAGGCAGGAGGAGAGGGGUGGGGGAGCGAAUCUGCCUCCUCCAGCCCCGCCGCAUCCGGGACGCUGUGCGGCUGGGUUCGCUUGGCACUUGAAUCUGAACGGGAGCAGCUGUUCGCCCUAGCUAGAAGGGAGCCGGCAAAACCUGUUGCACGGAUCUAGAGCUGAGAAAGUCUCUUCUUAGCUUCCUCCACCAUUUUGAAUCAAGUAUAGUGAUGGAGGAAGGUGUUGCCUCUGUGUUUGUUUUCAAGUGAAAGAAGGUUGGCAGCAGCAUUUGGAACACAUGGCAUAAGUCUGGGAACUGGGCCUUACAGCCAUCGUAAAGAAGUGAGCUUCAGCUUCCAAGAAGAGAAGAAAGCAGAGAGAUAUAAUUGGGCAUUUCAAUCUCAUCUGACCAAAGCCUUCAUGUGGAAGAGGAAUCUGCCUGUCAAAGAAAUUGGAGAGCUUCUCUGGAUCCCAUUUCCAUCCAAUCAAAGAUGCUUUGUAUUCACCAUCGUUAAUCGUACGAUUUGCAUUUGUGUAGAAAGUAAUAGAGGAAAUAUCCCAAGUUCAUUACCAAAAGGUAAUGAAGAGCAUCCCCAAAAAUUUGUGUGAUCUGGAUUGGAAUUCUGAAGCAGUUGAUACAAUCAGGGAAAAACAGAAGGAUUUGGCAGGAAAGAACAAGGAGAAUGGGGUUUAUGGAAGAAGAAGUUUGAAGUCUUCCAACUUCACUCAAGAAGUGUUAGUUCACUCAGUUAGGAAACUGGCACACUGACUGGCCAUCCAGGAUGGGACAGAUCUUGUCAGUAUCAGAGGAGUAAUAUUUUCACAAGGAUGAACUGCCACUGAAUGAUACAGAAACACUUUUAUCUUCAAUAUCAUGCAGGUAUUUUGGGAAGAUAAGUCCCUGUAUUAUUAAUUAUGACAUUUAAAAAUGAUUCUGUUCCUUGGGAACAAGAAGACAAAUAUUUAUCUCCAUGGUUAUGUUUUGCAGAGCACUCUAAAAGCAUCAAAAAAGUGCAAGAUCUUGUUCCUGGCAUAUAUUUCCUUUGGGCUAAUCUUUCAAGACUCCAAAAGGUGUUGAGAUACGGUUGAUGUUAUGCAACCUUCAACACUAAAGCAGAUGUACAUCGUUCCUCCUUUGAGAAGUCUUAUUUUGAUCUCUGGAGACCCAUAUAGUGGUCCUCGCUAAAUCAUUUUGAGCAGAAGGGGAAUGUGCCCAGAGCAUUAUAGAAGCAGCAAUCUGUAGAUGGAAGUUAUAUGUGGAGUUUGAUGAAGCUGGCACUUUUCCUCCUGUAUGUUAAAUAAACAAGAAGUUACUGUGUAGUGUGUGAUGAUGCAGGCUGAUACUCUGCUGCUGAAUAAAACAAUGACAUGCUAAGACUCAGACUAUUUCCUUGUAUAGUCCUCAAAAAAUAGGAUUUUUUGUUUCUGAUACAUCUGAAAAUUCACAGGCAAAUAUGCAACUAAUCAAACCUCGCAGAGAUGCUAACACCCAGAUGUGUGUGUUUCUGUGUGGAAGCAAUCUAUGGCUAAUAGUAACAGAACUCUUGGAUAGAGAAAUCCUGUAAAAAUACAGAUUAGGCAUACAUAAGUUAAAUAUGUCUAACUAGUGUGCCAAGAAUUUAUAGUUUUAUGAAAUCUGUAUUAUGUAAAGAUCUUUCAAUAUUUCCUUCUAAAAAGUUUUCAUUAAUAUACAAAAAGGAGGAUAUGGAUUUCCAUAAUAAGCAGAAGAACCUUCCCAUUUCAUGUACAAUAAAUGAAAAUAACCACAUGACCUUGAUUCCUUGGCUUCCCUCUCUCUCCAGAUCUCCAUUAGAAGUUAGUACUUGAGUAAUCCAAUCUUUUAAUAAUAAGCUAUAAAAUAAAACCGUGCAAUUUAGCAAUAAUAAUGAAUGGUAAGUUUGCAUGUUGGCUGGAACUUCUGAGUGAGACUGUCCAACAUUCACUGUGCUAAAAGUCUAACAGUACUGAGUUUGACCAUUGGGAUUGACACCCUAGAUUCGCAACAGAGAUGGGAAGGAGUGCAAAUGCAGAUCUGAAUUUUGUAUUUUAAAUAUGGAAGUAUCUAUAUCUGAGGAGAGCCUUGUCUUGUUCAUCUUGAUACACUUCAGUAAAUUAUGAGGAGCUACUUUAAAAUGAAGAAAAGACAGAGGAGGUAAAAAUCAGAGAAAAUUCAGAGCUGAAAUCGAGAGUUAAUACUUGCAGGAAUUCAAGCCAGUAUUCCUUACAAAACUUCCCUUUGACUUCUCAUCCAGGGGAAAGAAAAGGAAAAAUUUAUCUGUGUGUACCUCUAUAUCUUGUAAUAUAUCUUAUAAUAAUCCAAGUUCACUUCAUGGACAUGGAUUUUGACUCUGGCUCAUAGUGGUGACAUCAUGUCUCAUCACUAGUAAUGAUGUGAUCCAGGAAACUGGAUGAAGUAAACUGCUACCUUCAGCCUUGUAUUGGUUCAAUAGGUCUUACAUAUCAAUAGGUCUUACAUAUCAAACUUACAUACGAUGCUCUUUCUGUUCCUGUGUGAGCAUUUGCAGGACUCACUUGUCGCAAACUUCAUUAUAUUCCAACGUUACCAUCAUCAUUUUCAAUGCACUGAAGCUGAUAUUCAACCCUGUACACAGUUCUCUGGUUGUAAUUCACCAAUUUGUGUGGAUGAGCUGAUUGAGACACUCUUCAUUUUGUGGUGUGACAGCUGUGCAUGUCUGUCUGGAAUGUGGUUUGUCUUUCAUGUCUCUGUUGCCACUGCUGAAAUGCACCAUCCGCCUCCUCACUGCGCUCACAUCCACUGUUUGGUCUCCAUAAACUUUCAGCAUGUGUCAAUGAAUGUCAAAGGGGACCAUUUUUUCCACAUGGAGGAAUUCAGUGACACACCUUUGCUUUGUACGCACUUCCAUGUCAGAGGCCAUUUCGUCAGACUGCCCCUCUGUUGCCAUCUGUCACACAGCAACGAAAUGUAAUGGAAUAUUGGUGGGAAAUUUCAAGCUCUACUAACACGCUACCAGCAUCCACCUCUGAAGUUGUGGGCCAACACCACAAAAUAGGAGGCAUUAAUUUCAGAGCAGCAAGCUUGGUAGAAAGGUGAAUAAAUACAGAUUAGAUUUUCUGUAAUACCUUCACUGAAGGCUCAGAUGAGUUUGAGUCAUAGAUCAAAGCAACAUGAUCAUCUGAAGUGGUCUCUUAUUUGAGAAAGGCCAAACCUUGCACACAAAAUUCCUUUUUGCUUGCUUCCCUCCAACGCUGUAUAUUUAUCAUGGAUAGAUUAUCACUGAGUGAUCACGUUACUUUCUGGUAUCUUAUGACUGUGGUUCAACUUCAGAAACAAAAAAGAGCAAAGGAAAGCUGCCAAAUCCAUUUGCUUUAUGUGACUCCCCACUUCAGACACACAAGGAAAGGCCUUACCUUUUUAACCUGUGCAGCUGAUGCUUGGAUUUUCUUUUCAUAUAUAUGCUCCAAAAGUAAACCAUGGACUUGAGAGGAAACGAGCUUAAUAUGCCAUGUGCUUCCUAUUUGUUGAAGGUAUCAGGGCUAGAGCUCCCUUGGCAUGCUAAAACAUGAACGUUUUUACAGCGUAGCAGAUUAUGGAAGCUGCUCUUGAUAAAUUCCAGUAACAGCAUUUUACAUUCCUCAUGCACCUUUCUGUGAAUGACAGAUUGCCACAUUAAGUCUCUAAAGAAGUGCUUGACAAGGGUGGUUCAGCAAAAGAAGAAAAUGGACCAUGUGUCUGACUCGGUAACUCUACAUUUCUUAACACAUUUACACGGGACUGCAGUGUUGUUCUCUCCUGUGUGCCAGAGCAUGAGAAAACUUCAGCGUGAGACACUCCUUCACACCACCAGGUCCUCUGCUGAAAUGCACAUGAAAACAAACAUAUGGAUGUGUUUACCUCUCAUAAAAGUAUAGGAAAAAGAAUAAUUUCACUGGAAUUUUUUCUUCUUGGCUGGGAGGUAGAGGAAAAGGGACCAUGGCAGAUACACAAGCUGUAGAAGAUGUGCUUGUUGGGAAGAAGGUUGUAGAGAUUAAACAGCCAGCCCAGUAAGUACUAGAAGCCUUUAUGCUGCAAGUAGAGCAACCAGGCUAAUAUACUGUUUCAUGCUGUAUUCUGAAGGUGCUUUUUGGAAGAAGUCAGUUCAAAAUGUUGCCCAGUAUGACUCUGCCUGGCACAGAAAUCACUGCUGGUUCUAUCCAUUCAGUGGAACUGAGGGGAACAAAGUUUGAAGACAUAAGUAUAUGAUUGUAUGUGAUUGUCUACAUACUUAAAAUGUGUAGAAUUAGCUGUUAAGUGCACUCUAAAUAUGGCACAUAAAUUCACCUAUAAAUACUAGAAGCACUGUGCCUGAUUUAGAAACAUUAACUGAAGAAUUUCUCAAAUGCAAAUUUUAAUUUCUUUCAGAUCUGUUUUGUGGUUUCUUCUCCAGCAUUCAAGGUGGAUGCAUGAGAUUCCAUUUCCAGUUUUAACUUAAUGGCUUCCCUUAAGAAAGAGGAGGAAAAAAAGUUAUAUGAAUUAAACAUUACAUAUGAUGUGGCAAAGCACUUUCAGGAAUUCAAUAAGGAAGAGCAGAAAAAACUGUUGCUCAGAGUUAGUAGCAGCAGUGAAUAGCGCUGUUACCAUCUAAAAGCUCACACUUUUCAGUCAGACUUGGCUGGUGAAAUGUAGAAGCUUAAUGUGGAUUACACUUUUUAAAUCUUUCAACGUUAGAAAAAUAGAAGAGAUGUAGUGCGUUUUCAUUUCAGCGUACUUUGAAUGCAAUCUCAAGAUAAAUGUGAGAGACGGAUUGUGUUUGUACCCGUGCCAAACAUUGUCGUUAGAUAUUGCUGUUUUGUUUCAUCAGCCAGAUGAAUUUACACAGGGACAUCGAUCAGGUACCUACAUUUAAAAGAGCGCACUGUCAAAUUAGUGGAUAGAAAGAGCACAUUAGGAGAGAGAAAUUAUCUGGUGAAAGAUUUAAAGACUGACUCACUUAUGUUUUGUUUCAUUAAAUGUGGGGUAGUCCCCGUUCAUUUUCCAUUUAGCAUGAACAUUCAUAGACUCCAUUAAAAUACCAUUUUUGUAACGAACUAGCUGACUUGGGACAUACAUGAUCCUCAUUGGAAAAAACACAGCUCCCCUUCUGACAGGUUCUAGAUCACUCCAAAAUCUGGGGCCCAAGACGGGCAACCCUACUGGCUGUCUUGAGGAGACACCUGCGUCCUCCUGUAAAAUAUAUGUGUAUAGGGCAUAUAUUUUAUGGCCUGCAGGGGCUGGUGGUCUCCAUAGGGAUGGGGAGAGGUUGGGAUGGGAUGUGGUUGUAUGCACUCCACAAAAGGUCUCAGAAUAUGUUCUCAAGAGGCAAACACACACAAGCACAAAACAAACAAACAAAAAGACAAGCAACAAAAUAAAUCAAGCAAAUUGAAACCAAAUACAUCCAUGACUAGCCUAUGCCAUAAAUCCCUCUUUUGUGCUACUUUCCAGUCAGCUCCAUUACACAAUGGAUUUAAUUCCACAAUGAUUUAAUUACACAAUGAUUUAAUUCAAACAUUUUAUGGCAGAGAUGUAUUUUAGCUAAAAUGAUAUUUUUACUCAGUGUGGGGCGGCAGGGGGUUGGAUAAAAUGGACUACUUUACCAAUGAAAUGAAGAGCUACAGAAUGGUAAGAGACAGAUACAGGGAGUGUAGGUGUGGUACCAAAUCCCUACCUCACUGUUUCAAUACCUGCGCUUAGUGCCUGGAUUGCCUUACAUUCAGCUCUGUAACAGCCCCACAACAUAUCAGAGCUUCCUGCGAAGGUUUUCACUCUUCAUAUCCAAUAAGACAUUUAGAUUAAUGCAUGCAAAAUGUUGCCCUAGGAUUUGAUAGUGAAAAGAGCCAAAACCCAAAUCUUCUUUUUUUCCCCAGAAAUAGUCAUCCAUCAUUAAAAUUAUUAGAGAGCAAAUGGCUGAAAUGUAUCAUUACAAAAUAGAAGUAUUUCCUUUGAUUGUUUAAAAAUCUCUUAUUUAAUUUGAUUCAUACAUAUUUUUUUCCCUUUUACAGUUUAGAACACUGCAUCUUACCAUAUGUGAAAUGUUUCUUUGAGGUGUCAAAGUGACUUGUCAUGGGUUUGGAAUGAGAACUAAAUUAAAUGUCCAUACUUUAACAUACUUAUAUAAAUAACGAGAUAUUCCAGUAUAAACCAUUCAUUUGGCAGUCAUUUCUACAUCAGCAACUACAAAGUGCUAUAGAUUUCCUGCCUAACUUGACACAUGCAAAGAAAAUCAGGAAGGAAAAUGUGUGUGUACGCAUAUAUUUUAUAGAAAAAGACAGCCUCUUGUAUUCUAUUGUCAUUAAAGUAUUUCUAGCUUUUCUGGAAAUAGUGCAAGAGGUUUAACAAAAUGCUCUGCAUUCACAGCAGAAUGCUGGAGCAUUAAGUUGCUUCCAACUGCACUCCAAAACUUGUUUCCAUAAUUUAGAAACAGAGAGGGUAGAAAUGGAUAACAAAGUCAUUAAUGAGCUCCAAGAAUGAUUUAUUAUGGGUGAUAUAGCGUCUUUGCUUUUAAGAAAAAUACAUUAAAUAAAAAUUCUUCAUAAAAUAAAAAUUCUUUCCUAUUGAACAUUGUGCAGAAUUUGCUUUAUUAGUGUAUUAUAUCACCACAUUGCCUGGUCUGGCAUUUCUCAUACAAAUAAUGUUUCAAGGUGCUAGCAAAGCUUGUGAACUACAGUGCAAACCAUGUUAGGAAUACUGUUUGUACAGAAACACAACAGUAGCAAAGAUCCUUCUGCAGGGGUUCUGGAGAUAGUUAACACUGGAGGAUCCUUUCAUCUUGCAUCUGCUGCACAAACUUGCAUCACACUCGGCUAACAAUAAUAAAAAAUGAUAACUGAUAUUUAGUUCCAGUCUUUCCAUCUGCCUGACUUCUUUAUGCCAGUUUUUAGGUUGCCAGUCUUUCUCAUGCACACGUCUAUGCACACAUACUCUGAAAGCAUCGGUGGUCAAUGAACAGUGUCGUCUAGGUGGAAACAUCAUAUAGCUAUAAAACAACAUCCAGAUUUGCUG
RNAcentral lists this long non-coding RNA (9057 nucleotides) under Gallus gallus (chicken). The record is from RNAcentral. Lineage: Eukaryota; Metazoa; Chordata; Aves; Galliformes; Phasianidae.